Molecule: ribosomal RNA, 606 nt
Filed under: uncultured bacterium
Lineage: Bacteria
Description: bacterial SSU rRNA
Rfam family: Bacterial small subunit ribosomal RNA
Source: RNAcentral
CCUACGGGAGGCAGCAGUAGGGAAUAUUGGGCAAUGGAGGCAACUCUGACCCAGCCAUGCCGCGUGCAGGAAGAAGGCGUUAUGCGUUGUAAACUGCUUUUAUAUAGGAAGAAAUAGUCCUUGCGAGGAAAGUUGACGGUACUAUAUGAAUAAGCACCGGCUAACUCCGUGCCAGCAGCCGCGGUAAUACGGAGGGUGCAAGCGUUGUCCGGAUUUAUUGGGUUUAAAGGGUGCGUAGGCGGUUUAUUAAGUCAGUGGUGAAAGACGGUCGCUCAACGAUUGCAGUGCCAUUGAUACUGGUAGACUUGAGUGGGAUUGAGGUAGCUGGAAUGGAUAGUGUAGCGGUGAAAUGCAUAGAUAUUAUCCAGAACACCAAUUGCGUAGGCAAGUUACUAAGUCUCAACUGACGCUGAGGCACGAAAGUGUGGGUAUCAAACAGGAUUAGAUACCCUGGUAGUCCACACUGUAAACGAUGAUAACUAACUGUUGGCUUUCGGGUCAGUGGUACAGAGAAAUCGUUAAGUUAUCCACCUGGGGAUACGCCGGCAACGGUGAAACUCAAAUGAAUUGAGNGNGAGAGAGCGACGACGACGACGAGGGAGGAGG